Molecule: non-coding RNA, 3731 nt
Organism: Labrus bergylta (ballan wrasse)
Lineage: Eukaryota; Metazoa; Chordata; Actinopteri; Labriformes; Labridae
Source: RefSeq, a predicted model, not a curated record
CGAAGGGAGUACUUGAAGUUGGACUUGGAACAGCUUCCGGAAGAAAAAGGCAUCUGUUCCAGUCACCUCAUGAUCAGCGACGAGCCUGUGACUACACCAGACAAUUCUAUGUCAUCUUACCUCCCCCUAGAGUUCAGUCUGUAACUGCUGCAACCGGUCUGAGCCAUUACAUUCUGGUGCACAUCUCUCAUCUUUCCUACAUCCUUCACUUAGAUUUUUGACAAUGAAGAGUAUGACUGCCGGACUCCAGAAGACUGGCUGGCCUGCAGUGCUGAUGGAAAAACUGUUCAUGGAAAAGCCCUGCUGCCUACAGAGAACAACAUUCCUUCUGAUGAUCCUGAAAGCUCCCUGCUGGAGUACAGCUGGCAUUUAGUUGCAGUUCUUGAAUUCAGUAAGGAGAAAUGCCAGUAUCUUGUACAGAAGGUUCACCAAAACACUAAGCCGACAGUUGCUUAGAGGUAAACACACUGCAAACAGACACUGGGCACUGGGUACCCAGGAUUAGAUUGUUAUUCAUUGCUGAGGACCCACGUGUAUUUGUCGAACGGAUCCAGUUUGCCCUGCGUUUGAGAGAUAAAGUAGAGGCUCUGAUUUUCUAUCACUUGACUGUGGACUGCAUGCCCACUUGGAGUGAAACACCGUCUCUUAUACUGACAGUCUACAGCGUAUCAAAACAUACCCUUUCAACUCCUGGGCUCAGGCAAGAAAUUGUGGAAAAGUGUUUAGGGGACCUGGAGAUGGAGGUCAAGCUAGAUUAUGAGCGAACAAUGAAUCGCAUGAUCUUUGACAAAGUUGUUCAGAGCCAAUCAGAGGAUUUUUCACACAUCAACUUGCCAGAGACGGAGUCUGUACCCGAGUCUGUACCCCAAAGUGGUUGCGUUCCAGUACCUUACUUUGACAAUAAGAGAAAAUUCUUUUUUUUGUCUUCCAUUCCCUGCAAACAAAGCCCGAGGUGAUCUGUGUGUUAUCUACAAUAUGGCUGGAGUGCCACAAAGUAGCAACCAUGAAACUGUUCAAUGUCACUUCAGUCAAACCUCUGCAACUCGACGAGUUUGAAGUUAUGCAGUUUCAAGUACACACUCAGAUAAACUUGUUUCUAAGAGAAAAGUGGAUAACCACGCUGAGCAACAGCAUCCUCUCCAAGCUUGGGGGUCUGGGCAGGGGCUCUUAUAACGUCAAUGAGUCCUGCUGGGACAUGUACAAGUUUUCCAAGAUGCCCAGACUGAUGGCUGUGGUGCGCUUCAACAUGCAGGACUCCCUGCGCUUCCUUGUGCAGGAUUCAAUGGCCAGCCUGACUCAGCUGCUUUUAGAUGCCUGCCAAGAUGUGCUGACAUCCUCAGGAACUGGUCUGGGGAAACAACCUUAUCACAAGCCCCUACAGGCCAAAGAAGAACCCUCUGUUCCUGGUGGACUUGGUACUGGAUCAGACUGGGGUCCAUUACAGCCCUCCUCUGGAAGAUUUUGAGCCAUCCAUCAUUAACCUUUUUGACAAGGAUAUUUUGGUCACAAAAAAAAAGGUACCAUAGCUUGAAAAGGUAAACUAAAAUCUGCAAUCACACGAGAUACAGAUAGUUGAAUUAAAGAUGUGAAUAUGAGGAUGUGAAACUUGUUAACUGGGAGCUCCUUAUCGAUUGAUGAUAACAAUCACAUACAGAAUAUGCUCAAAGUGGCGAUGAUGUUGAGGAUUAAUUUGACCUCUCUUGUCCAUGACAGUUUGUGAUGAAAAAUUUGUUAUUCGGCGAUGACCCGUUGCGUGACUCAGUGAGUUUGCAGGAAUCAGAAGUAUAGAGAGAAGGUCCACAGUGCCGUGAAACAAGCAGCCAUUCCGCUCAGGGCUUACGCUGCUGAAUGUGAGAAACACUUGGAGCUACACAACCUGGACAUAGAAACUCAUCUCAAAUUGAAUACAAAUGCAGAAAUGACAUCAAAUAGUGAAGAGAGAGGUGGAACAGCAUCUAAAAGACCAGGAAUUAAUCGAAUACACCCCGCCAGCCUCGAUUGUCAUCGGCCCAUUUGUAGUCCAUGUCGAAGCUGUGCGUCAGGCUCUCGCAAACAAAAAAAAAGUCUUUGGCCAACGCUAUGUUGGAACAGCUUGCUCAAAAGUUACGCAAGCAAGUUGAUGAUGCGUGUGAAGAGUAUAAUGUAAUUAGUAGAAAGUUGCGUGAGAAUCCCAACAGCAUUGAGGAACUGACUGAAAAGAGGGACUGGAUGAAGCAAAUCCCUGAACAGCUCAAGAUUUACAAGGAACUCAUUGACAAGACCCUGACAGAUUAUGAUCUACUUGAAGAAUUUGUCUAUAGUCUUUCAAACAACGAUUUUAACAGAAAAUGCUCAGCUAUUGGAUGGCCACAAAGGAUUAUCAGCCAGAUGGAAGUAGCAGGGAUUCAAAAUGUGGAGGAUGAGGAGCGCUUCCGUAAAAUCCAGCUGGUUGACCAGAACAACUUUGAGGAGCAUCUGGAUUCUCUACAGGACCGAUGGUAUCCUCUCAUCUCUCUACCUUCUUUCUUAUUCUGCUGCUUGUGUGACUUAGGGCCCCUGGGCUGAGAACAUAAUGCACGCUGCAAUGAAACAAGGUCAUUGGGUCUUCUUCCAGAACUGUCACCUGGCUCCCAGCUGGAUGCCCUCCCUGGAGAGACUCAUUGAGAACAUCGAUCCAACAAAGGUGCACAAGGACUUCCAUCUGUGGCUCACAAGUCUCCCCAGCAACAAGUUCCCCGUCUCCAUUCUCCCAAAUGGAUCAAAGAUGACCAUCGAGCCUCCAAGGGGAAUCAAGGCCAAUCUGCAGAAAACCUACCUGAGACUCACCAUUGACUUUAUCACCUCUUCAACCAAAGUCCUCACUCACAGUCCUACUUUUUAAAUUGACUUUUUAUUACACGCCCUGCUAUGAAAACGAUGUCCAAUUAUGUCUUCUGUAUUCCUCUCUGUUCUUCUCAGGUGACACACACAGUCUUUGCUCCUUUCUCUGUGUCUCUUCCAUGGAAUUUCUCUUGAGAGAUGGAAGUUUGGUCCAUUCGGCUUUAACUUUCCCUACGAGUUCACAGACGGAGACCUGAAUAUCUGCAUCAGCCAACUCAAAAUGUUCCUGGACGAGUACCAGGACACCCCAUUCAAGGUACUAAGAUACACUGCUGGAGAGAUCAACUAUGGCGGCCGUGUGACAGAUGACUGGGACAGACGAUGUUUGCUCAGUGUGUUGGAGGAUUUCUACUCUCCCAAUGUGCUUGUUGAUGAACACAACUACUCUUCAUCUGGAGUCUACAGGCAGAUUGACACAAAUCUGGAUAUCAAGGGUUACUUGUCAUACAUCCGUGGUUUGCCCAUCAACGAUACACCGGAGAUCUUUGGUCUCUAUGACAACGCUAACAUCAGUUUUGCCCAGAAUGAGACUUUUGCCCUGCUGGGAACCGUGGUUUGUCUCCAGCCUCGAACUGCCUCUGCUGUGGGAAAAACUCAUGAGGAGAUAGUGGAGGAGAUAGUGGCAGGCAUCGUUGUAAAGAUCCCCAAGCCUUUCAGUGUUCAGGAGGUGAUGAAGAAGUACCCGGUCCUCUAUGAAGAGUGAACACAGUGCUCAUGCAGGAGGUCAUCAGAUAUAACAAGUUGCUGGAGGUCAUCUCGCAGAGUCUGGGUGAUAUUGUGAAGGCUCUGAAUGGUUUAGUGGUGAUGUCAUCAGAACUGGAGCUUAUGGCCAACAGUCUGUUUAACAACCUGGUGCCUGAUAUGUGGAAAGC